RNAcentral lists this transfer RNA (51 nucleotides) under Acer circinatum (vine maple). RNAcentral's name for it is "partial tRNA-His". It matches the Rfam family "tRNA", at positions 1 to 48 of the family's 71-position model. From Rfam's summary of the family: Transfer RNA (tRNA) molecules are approximately 80 nucleotides in length. Their secondary structure includes four short double-helical elements and three loops (D, anti-codon, and T loops). RNAcentral also lists the same sequence under 7 other names. Lineage: Eukaryota; Viridiplantae; Streptophyta; Magnoliopsida; Sapindales; Sapindaceae. The record is from RNAcentral.
GCGGAUGUAGCCAAGUGGAUCAAGGCAGUGGAUUGUGAAUCCACCAUGCGC